Small nuclear RNA from Coturnix japonica (Japanese quail), 136 nucleotides. RefSeq annotates it as U12 minor spliceosomal RNA. The record is from RefSeq and is a predicted model, not a curated record. Lineage: Eukaryota; Metazoa; Chordata; Aves; Galliformes; Phasianidae.
AUGCCUUAAACUUAUGAAUAAGGAAAAUAACCAACCGGGGUGACGCCCGGGUCCUCACUGCUGUUGUGUGCCCUGGUGGCGCAGUGGCAGGAAUGCCGCCUUGCAACACCAGGGCCAGGGGUUCGAAUCCCCCCUG